RNAcentral lists this ribosomal RNA (428 nucleotides) under Bacillota bacterium. RNAcentral describes it as "Firmicutes bacterium partial 16S ribosomal RNA". It matches the Rfam family "Bacterial small subunit ribosomal RNA", at positions 355 to 776 of the family's 1533-position model. Lineage: Bacteria; Bacillati; Bacillota. The record is from RNAcentral.
UGGGGAAUUGUUCGCAAUGGGCGCAAGCCUGACGACGCAACGCCGCGUGGAGGAUGAAGGUCUUCGGAUUGUAAACUCCUGUUGCCCGGGACGAAAAGCCUCGACCUAACACGUCGAGGUCUGACGGUACCGGGUGAGGAAGCCCCGGCUAACUCUGUGCCAGCAGCCGCGGUAAUACAGAGGGGGCAAGCGUUGUUCGGAAUUACUGGGCGCAAAGGGCGCGUAGGCGGCCUGCUAAGUCGAACGUGAAAUCCCCGGGCUCAACCCGGGAACUGCGUCCGAUACUGGUUGGCUUGAAUCCGGGAGAGGGAUGCGGAAUUCCAGGUGUAGCGGUGAAAUGCGUAGAUAUCUGGAGGAACACCGGUGGCGAAGGCGGCAUCCUGGACCGGCAUUGACGCUGAGGCGCGAAAGCCAGGGGAGCAAACGGG